UACUGCUACAGAUGAAGCUUCUUCAUGUUUAUCUCUGUGCGUAGAGAAUAUUGCAGCAAAUGUUUUGUCAUUGCUAAGCUUAACUUUCAGUGCCUGCAUUCUGGUUAUUGGGGCUUCCAAGAUUCUUGGAAGGAUUAUGAGACAGUUGAAGAUUAUGAUAAGCCUAGCUCAUCUUUGAAUGAUUUGUUUGAUAGAAAACUGGAUCUGGAUUUUAACAUUAAGAUGAAACCUUCUCAAGUCUCCCAGGUUUCCGAUUGUCAGAUCUUAGAUGGUCCUCAGAUCUUAAAUGAAAUAAAUGAUCCCAAUUUUUCUUUGAAACGUAUGUUGUUGGAUCCAAGUCAAGCAUCAGAAACUGCUAGGAGGAACAAUUUGGGUCGGCAUAACAUCUGUAAGUCUAGCAAUCUGCCAGAGGACAUUAUAGGUGAAGUUAUAGGCUUCACUUGUAGUCAGCAUCAGGUAAGGAAAUCUAUUCUGUACCUAAAUCUUCAUCCUUCCCUUUGGUGCCUGAGAUGGAAAACAAUUCCAUAGGGAAGUCUAAAAUUGCAAGAAGAUUGUCAUUUGGUAAAAGCAGUCACCCCACUUUCACAACAGCUACUGAGGUCAAAUCUGGACAGAGUUUACAAUUUGGAUUGGCAUAACAUCAGAUCUAUUUUCUGGUAAACAUCUGAGACACAGUUUACAAGGAACUAAUGACCUUCCAGGUACUGAUUAUAAAAAAGGCAAGUUCCCUUUAGAGCACCGCAAUGACCUCUUAGAGAAGGUUUUAGAACAGAGAUUUUCAGAUUCCAAAGGCUUGCCAUUCAUUCAGCAAAUGCACAAAAAGGUUCGCCCUGGACAAUGGAAUUUAUGAACAGAAUCAGGGAACAGAGAAGGUUGCGGCAGUAUUCCCUUCCAUGUGAUACAGUUGCCCCAUGCUUUGGGGUUUCAGGGAAUACCUCAAAAGUUAGUAAGAGAAGAAGUCCAUCUAUUCUUGAAUUUUUCAAGUACUGAGGAGGCAGGACUCCUAAGAUUUUACCAAAACAAAAGAUGCAAAAGCGAUCUAUACAAUCAUCAAGCUCUUCUAAGAACAAAAUGCCUUCAACUUCAUAUCUUCAUAUAUGGGCUCCUAUUGACAAGAGAACAAGACAGAUUCUGGCUUUUGCUACUAAUGAAAAUGGCUGCCAAACUAAGUUGGUGUGGAGUGAAGGAAGUGCUUAGGAUCUGAGAAAAAGUUGCAGAGGCAAUAAAUGGAGUGGGAACAAGAUCAGUGCCCUGUAUAAGUACUCAGAUCAUUUUGAAUGAAGUUAUAAUUUGGUUCUUUUCAGAACAUAAUAUUUAACUUCUUAUUGAAGUUCCAUGCCUGCAGUUGCAAGUGUUAGCUUAUCAGAGUCACCUGCGACAGUUGUUUGAAGUGUCUAUCUAAGACUCCUAUAAGUAAGCUCAAAUAUCACUAACUUUUGCCCUGUUUAUGCCAAAUAUAUCGAAUUAACUUGACUGAAGUUCGUAGUCAUAUCUAAGAGAGAUUGGCAAACAGAUUCAUUGUUGACACUUUGAAAUGAAUUUUCUAGAACGGAAUGAAUA
Molecule: long non-coding RNA, 1560 nt
Organism: Mangifera indica (mango)
Lineage: Eukaryota; Viridiplantae; Streptophyta; Magnoliopsida; Sapindales; Anacardiaceae
Exons: 2
Source: RefSeq, a predicted model, not a curated record